CUGGCCCUUUGUUUACAUUAACUUUAUUUAAUUUCCAUAGAACUUUAUUUUGUGUUAAGCUAUCAUCUGCUGUAACAGGGAUCUGCAAAUCUACAACCAUACAUUCUUCCUCCCCAUAUACUGAAGAAAGCUAAUUCGUUUGUACUUCGGCCUUGUCCUGAUCCUCCUUGAAUAACUUGCCCAUCUCAGAUUCCAAUGGACCAACACUAUGACUUUAUAUUG
Pelobates cultripes (western spadefoot toad) is the source of this 222-nucleotide non-coding RNA. NCBI's taxonomy places the organism in Eukaryota, Metazoa, Chordata, Amphibia, Anura, Pelobatidae. The record is from the annotation of a GenBank genome assembly.